Picea glauca (white spruce) is the source of this 46-nucleotide non-coding RNA. Lineage: Eukaryota; Viridiplantae; Streptophyta; Pinopsida; Pinales; Pinaceae. The record is from Rfam.
AUAAUGGUGUCUUUAGACACCACCUUUCAUUUUCGAAAUUUUUUCC